RNAcentral lists this ribosomal RNA (311 nucleotides) under Clostridioides difficile. RNAcentral's name for it is "partial 23S ribosomal RNA". It matches the Rfam family "Bacterial large subunit ribosomal RNA", at positions 1 to 312 of the family's 2925-position model. The record is from RNAcentral. Lineage: Bacteria; Bacillati; Bacillota; Clostridia; Peptostreptococcales; Peptostreptococcaceae.
GGUCAAGUUAUUAAGGGUGCAGGGCGGAUGCCUUGGCACUAGGAGCCGAUGAAGGACGUGAUAAGCUGCGAUAAGCUUCGGGGAGUUGCACGUAAACUUUGAUCCGAAGAUUUCCGAAUGAGGAAACUCACUUAGAGUAAUGUCUAAGUAUCAUUAAGUGAAUACAUAGCUUAAUGAGGGGAACUCAGGGAACUGAAACAUCUAAGUACCUGAAGGAAGAGAAAGAAAUUCGAUUCCGUAAGUAGCGGCGAGCGAACGCGGAUUAGCCCAAACCAAUAAAGUUUUCUUUAUUGGGGUUGCGGACAUAUCAU